GAUGAACGCUAGCUACAGGCUUAACACAUGCAAGUCGAGGGGUAACAAGAGAAAAGCUUGCUUUUCUUGUUGACGACCGGCGCACGGGUGAGUAACGCGUAUCCAACCUGCCUAUAACUAGGGAAUAACCUUGCGAAAGUAAGACUAAUGCCCUAUGACUUCCUUUGGCGGCAUCAAAAAAGGAAUAAAGAUUUAUCGGUUAUAGAUGGGGAUGCGUCUGAUUAGCUUGUUGGCGGGGUAACGGCCCACCAAGGCAACGAUCAGUAGGGGUUCUGAGAGGAAGGUCCCCCACAUUGGGACUGAGACACGGUCCAAACUCCUACGGGAGGCAGCAGUGAGGAAUAUUGGUCAAUGGGCGGAAGCCUGAACCAGCCAAGUAGCGUGCAGGAUGACGGCCCUAUGGGUUGUAAACUGCUUUUAUACAGGGAUAAAGUUAGCCACGUGUGGUUAUUUGCAGGUACUGUAUGAAUAAGGACCGGCUAAUUCCGUGCCAGCCGCCGCGGUAA
RNAcentral lists this ribosomal RNA (506 nucleotides) under uncultured bacterium. Its description in RNAcentral is "partial 16S ribosomal RNA". It matches the Rfam family "Bacterial small subunit ribosomal RNA", at positions 28 to 523 of the family's 1533-position model. The record is from RNAcentral.